AUUGAACGCUGGCGGCAGGCCUAACACAUGCAAGUCGAACGGUAACAGGAAACAGCUUGCUGUUUCGCUGACGAGUGGCGGACGGGUGAGUAAUGUCUGGGAAACUGCCUGAUGGAGGGGGAUAACUACUGGAAACGGUAGCUAAUACCGCAUAACGUCGCAAGACCAAAGAGGGGGACCCUCGGGCCUCUUGCCAUCGGAUGUGCCCAGAUGGGAUUAGCUUGUUGGUGGGGUAACGGCUCACCAAGGCGACGAUCCCUAGCUGGUCUGAGAGGAUGACCAGCCACACUGGAACUGAGACACGGUCCAGACUCCUACGGGAGGCAGCAGUGGGGAAUAUUGCACAAUGGGCGCAAGCCUGAUGCAGCCAUGCCGCGUGUAUGAAGAAGGCCUUCGGGUUGUAAAGUACUUUCAGCGGGGAGGAAGGGAGUAAAGUUAAUGCCUUUGCUCAUUGACGUUACCCGCAGAAGAAGCACCGGCUAACUCCGUG
Molecule: ribosomal RNA, 490 nt
Filed under: uncultured bacterium
Lineage: Bacteria
Description: partial 16S ribosomal RNA
Rfam family: Bacterial small subunit ribosomal RNA
Source: RNAcentral